This 438-nucleotide long non-coding RNA is filed under the name Citrus maxima (pomelo). Its description in RNAcentral is "long non-coding RNA (CMAX_LNC000176)". The record is from RNAcentral. Lineage: Eukaryota; Viridiplantae; Streptophyta; Magnoliopsida; Sapindales; Rutaceae.
AAAAGUGAAAACCUAAGCAAACUAAACAGUAAACACACAUUUGACUCAAAUCAGAUUUCAUCGCACAGCCGCAUAACACUCAACAACUAACCACACACGAUCUUAAACUCUUCUUCUCUUACCGGCCGCCACAUACGAGUAGUCAGCCACCGCUCAUCAUCUUCUCUUAGCAUCAUCGUCAUCAGCCUGUCACGGACUCCUGUUCAGCGCCAUCUCCUCUCACGGCAGCUCACAACACGCUGCAGCCUGCAGUCCGUCAAGCUUCCGUCAGCGCCAUCUCUCACGGCAGCUCACAACACGUUGCAGCCUGCAGUCCGUCAAGCUUCCGUCAGCGCCAUCUCUCACGGAAACUCACAACACGCUGCAGCCUGCAAUCCGUCAAGCUUCUCACGCCAUCGCCGUCACUAGUAUUGCCGAACUGCUGUCAAGGACUCAAGG